Molecule: long non-coding RNA, 2037 nt
Organism: Pseudopipra pipra
Lineage: Eukaryota; Metazoa; Chordata; Aves; Passeriformes; Pipridae
Exons: 4
Source: RefSeq, a predicted model, not a curated record
AACGCUCUUGGAUUGAAAGGUCACGGUGAUGGCUCUGUUCCAACAUUGUGGUUUAUUUUCUUAGUCUUUCGAUGAGCCCAAAGUCAGGGUUUGGCUGGGACUCGGGAGAGUCGAUGGAAAGCUAUCGGGGAUGUGGUAAGGAAAACAACUGUCUGCCAUCCGUGUCUCAUGCAACACCCAAGGAGCUCUGGAUUUGGAAGGGGGAAUCCCACUGAAGCUGGCAUUUCCUUGAACUGUGUUUGACUUCAAUCUCCUGGCUCUGGGGUUGUGUAGAAGACUCUGUUCCUAUGAGCAGAGGCAAGACUUUCAUAUUGGACUGAAACAUAAGGAUGGAGACAGAGAUUGACUGGAAGAAUAAGAUUUGGGGACAAAAAUGCCAGGCCUGUCCUUGUCCUGUUAGUUGCUAAAACCAUAUUUGGAGUCAAUGAAGUGAAAUUCCUCAGGACAGUGUUGGGUACCACUAGUCAGCAUGUUUAAGCCUGGCAAGCUGCUCUUUCCAGGCGUGAUGGACUUGGUGAUCACUUCUGUGAGAGUUUUGGGAGCACAGCCUUAUAGGACUGGAGACCCCACCAGGCUGCUCAGCACCUUCUCACACUGAACCACCCCAGAACUCACGGUGCUGAGCCAGGAGAACCUGCUCUCUCACUGACAUUGGAGAAACCUGCCCACACCAGGACAUUUCUAAUCCUACUCAGCUAUAAUUCAAGAGUACAUGGAAAAUGGUUUACCCACCAAGGGAGUUUUGUAUUACAGUGCUGCGCUGCUUGUGUUGGAAGCCAAAUUAAUAGUAAGGCUUGGCCAAGUUCUGCAUAGGUUGAAGCCUGACUUUUGGCUCAGUUUUGGUCUGACAAGAUUUUGGUGUCUCCAUCAGCAGCUUUGCUUUUGAGACUGUUGUUCCCAUUCCAGACACGGGUGGCUUGCAUUCAGACUGAGGAUACCUGUGGGUCUUGUGAGUCAUGUUGAGAGCAUUACGUGGGGUUGGGCUUAAAUAGAUGAAAAGUGAGAAUUUGUGAGACUUUGGCAGCCUAUGCAAUGAAUUUGUAAUGGCAGAGGUAGGAUGAAUUCCACCUCUGCUGUACAUGGCCGUUCCAGGGGACAUUCAGAAGUUCAGGCUAAUGUACAGCUCUGCCUGUUGUGUGGUGACUGAUGGAUUACACUGAAUCACCCCAGAGUUGUACUUGGAGUUUCUCAUUUCAAUGAUCUACUAACUCUCACAGAAAUCAACAGGAGGCUGAAACUAAUGUUUUUAAUGUGAGCUGGGUUGGCUAUUAAAAUCCAACAUUGUUUGAGAUCAUCUCUCUUACAUCCCUCUGAGAUCAAAGAAAUUUACUAUGGACAAGUGCAAUCACACAUAGAUAUGAUAUGAUUAAUUCUCCACGGUUCAGAUCAGAGUUCAGAUCUCUCUUGAGGAAAAGAUCUUUUUAUAUGCAAUAUUCAGAAGUAGUAGAAGAUAAUUUCCCAAGAGUAAUCCUUGGUUCCUAAAAUCACUUUCCUCUUGGUUCACCUUUCCUUAAAACCAUUUGAGAAAGUGAUUUGUUCUACACAGACUGGAAACUGCAGAAUGUUUUCUGAAAUGAAAUAGAAAUGCACUGAAACAUAGUAAUACCAAGCUGGCCCAGCAGGUAGGGACUUGGAGUUGGGAUACCAGAGUGUAAUUCUCUUUCCUCACACUGUGAUACUUCGGGCAAGUCACCAAAUAAAUACCUAAAAAUAUGAGUCUUAGUCCCACUGUACCCCAGAUUUCCAUCUGUAACUAGAGAAAACACCAUUUUCCUUGAUCACAGUGCUGUGGUGAAGCAGAGAUUUGUUGGAGUGUCGUGAUACUACAGUAAUGGGGACAACCAUCAAUAAAGCUCAUGUUAUAGGAAAGUCUACUAGCAAAGAAUUUAUAACUAGCAAAUUGAGGAAAAGAAAUACAGUAGUGAAAUGUUCAGAACUGCUAACUGUGUGUUUAAAGGUUUGGGAAAAUGCCUAGAGCUGUAAGUAGAUGCCAGAGAAAUUAAUUAUGAUAAUAAAACUUCUGGGAAGAGGUGGAAA